GUUAACGCCUCGAGAGUUUGUGUGUGCCAUGGCCAUCAUCAUGCGACGGAGGGCUGGUACACCUAU
RNAcentral lists this non-coding RNA (66 nucleotides) under Karlodinium veneficum. The record is from RNAcentral. Lineage: Eukaryota; Dinophyceae; Gymnodiniales; Kareniaceae.